GGGAUUCUGGCUAUGUACCAGACACGAGGUAUGUGCUUCAUGAUAUUGACGAGGCCGCUAAGGAGCAAGCGCUGAUGUAUCAUAGUGAGCGAUUGGCUAUUGCAUAUGGUUUAAUUAGUACUCCGGCAAGAACAACUCUUAGGAUCAUCAAGAACCUCCGGAUAUGCGGUGACUGUCACAACGCCAUUAAGAUCAUGUCAAAGAUUGUUGGGCGAGAGUUGAUUGUCAGAGAUAACAAACGGUUU
Molecule: unclassified non-coding RNA, 245 nt
Filed under: Hevea brasiliensis (rubber tree)
Lineage: Eukaryota; Viridiplantae; Streptophyta; Magnoliopsida; Malpighiales; Euphorbiaceae
Source: RNAcentral